Molecule: small nuclear RNA, 107 nt
Filed under: Notamacropus eugenii (tammar wallaby)
Lineage: Eukaryota; Metazoa; Chordata; Mammalia; Diprotodontia; Macropodidae
Source: RNAcentral
GUGCUUGCUUCAGCAGCACAUAUACUAAAACUGGAACGAUACAGAGAAGAUUAGCAUGGCCCCUGCGCAUGGAUGACAUGCAAAUUCGUGAAGUGUUGCAUAUUUUU